UCAGGAUGGUGUCCCCAAAUGCAGCUGAGA
RNAcentral lists this non-coding RNA (30 nucleotides) under Rattus norvegicus (Norway rat). Lineage: Eukaryota; Metazoa; Chordata; Mammalia; Rodentia; Muridae. The record is from RNAcentral.